RNAcentral lists this ribosomal RNA (465 nucleotides) under uncultured bacterium. RNAcentral's name for it is "partial 16S ribosomal RNA". It matches the Rfam family "Bacterial small subunit ribosomal RNA", at positions 28 to 507 of the family's 1533-position model. The record is from RNAcentral.
GACGAACGCUGGCGGCGUGCUUAACACAUGCAAGUCGAACGGAAAGGCCCCGUUGGGGGUACUCGAGUGGCGAACGGGUGAGUAACACGUGAGUAACCUGCCCUUGACUUCGGGAUAACUUCAGGAAACUGGGGCUAAUACCGGAUAGGAAUCCUUGCUGCAUGGUGGGGGUUGGAAAGCUUCGGCGGUUUUGGAUGGACUCGCGGCGUAUCAGCUUGUUGGUGGGGUAGUGGCUUACCAAGGCGUUGACGGGUAGCCGGCCUGAGAGGGCGACCGGCCAUACUGGGACUGAGAGACGGCCCAGACUCCUACGGGAGGCAGCUGUGGGGAAUCUUGCACCAUCGGCGGAAGCCUGAUGCAGCAACGCCGCGUGCGGGAUGACGGCUUUCGGGUUGUAAACCGCUUUCAGCAGGGGCGAAGCUUGUGGUGACGGUACCUGCAGAAGAAGCACCGGCUAACUACGUG